CCUUUGAUAGCUCAGUUGGUAGAGCGGAGGACUGUAGAUCCUUAGGUCGCUGGUUCGAAUACGCCUCGAAGGA
This 73-nucleotide transfer RNA is filed under the name Saccoglossus kowalevskii. RNAcentral's name for it is "tRNA-Tyr". It matches the Rfam family "tRNA". From Rfam's summary of the family: Transfer RNA (tRNA) molecules are approximately 80 nucleotides in length. Their secondary structure includes four short double-helical elements and three loops (D, anti-codon, and T loops). Lineage: Eukaryota; Metazoa; Hemichordata; Enteropneusta; Harrimaniidae. The record is from RNAcentral.